AGCUCAAAUUUGAAAUCUGGUAGCCUUCGGUUGCCCGAGUUGUAAUCUAGAGAAGUGUUUUCCGCGUUGGCCCAUGUACAAGUCCCUUGGAACAGGGCGUCAUAGAGGGUGAGAAUCCCGUCCUUGACAUGGACCCCCAAUGCUUUGUGAUACACUUUCAACGAGUCGAGUUGUUUGGGAAUGCAGCUCAAAAUGGGUGGUGAAUUCCAUCUAAAGCUAAAUAUUGGCGAGAGACCGAUAGCGAACAAGUACCGUGAGGGAAAGAUGAAAAGCACUUUGGAAAGAGAGUUAAACAGUACGUGAAAUUGUUGAAAGGGAAACGAUUGAAGUCAGUCAUGCUCUUUGGAUUAAGCCGUUCUGCGGUGUAUUUCAUUGAGCGGGGUCAACAUCAGUUUUGAUCGCUGGAAAAGGGCAGGAGGAAGGUAGCACUCUCGGGUGAACUUAUAGCCUCUUGUCGUAUACAGUGAUUGGGACUGAGGAACGCAGCAUGCCUUUUGGCCGGGAUUCGUCCACGUACAUGCUUAGGAUGUUGACAUAAUGGCUUUAAACGACCCGUCU
This 558-nucleotide ribosomal RNA is filed under the name Naganishia vaughanmartiniae. RNAcentral describes it as "partial 26S ribosomal RNA". It matches the Rfam family "Eukaryotic large subunit ribosomal RNA", at positions 106 to 654 of the family's 3401-position model. Lineage: Eukaryota; Fungi; Basidiomycota; Tremellomycetes; Filobasidiales; Filobasidiaceae. The record is from RNAcentral.